UCCUGGAGGAGCAGAAGAUUCCAAGGGUUCUAUUGUUCAUAGAUUAAAAAGUCACUUGAUUUGAGUUAAGAUCGUCGUGAGACAGAUCGGUUUAUAUCUAGUUUAAGAAAGUUAAGAAGAAAAAAAAAAAAGAAAAUCUUAAUACGAAAGGAAUAGAUUUUAUUAGCCUAUAGUGUAACAAUUGUCUGAUAUAGGCAUCGUUGUGAAGCCACGCUAAAAAAGAUAAUCAUUGAAUGCAUCAA
This 242-nucleotide ribosomal RNA is filed under the name Tiarina fusus. RNAcentral describes it as "Tiarina fusa partial Archaeal large subunit ribosomal RNA". It matches the Rfam family "Archaeal large subunit ribosomal RNA", at positions 2614 to 2850 of the family's 2987-position model. Lineage: Eukaryota; Ciliophora; Prostomatea; Prorodontida; Colepidae. The record is from RNAcentral.